GGGAGAGAGCUAAGGGAAACCCUAGUUCUUCAAAUCUCUACAAAAUUGAAGGAGUAAAAGGCCAGAUUUUCAAUGCAUGAGUUAGGAAUCAUGAUCCCUUAAGUGUUAUAAGUAUCAUGCACGAAUAAGGAAGAAGGCACGAGUCAUUCUAAAACUCCAGAAACGCAAGAUCGCUGUAAAUCCCACUCAUGAUGAUGCGAGCUCGGAUCGAACACACCCCACUACAUCGCCUUUUAUGCACUUCCGGUUAAGGUCGCCUUUUGUAAAUGGGUCAAAACUCUUUCAUAAUAUAAAUGUUAAACUUAUGUCUACGAUGUUUCGUAAGUAAGUUAGGAUUUUCAAUUCCUAUUUUGGUAGUUCGGUCAAAACACUUGUGAUGAAAUUUUGUAUGGUUACAACCUUUAUGUCUUUUGAAACGUGUCGUAGAAUUAGUUUGAAUGAUGAUUGUUAAAAACAGGGAAUU
This is a long non-coding RNA of Helianthus annuus (common sunflower), 463 nucleotides long. RefSeq lists it as uncharacterized. The record is from RefSeq and is a predicted model, not a curated record. The transcript is spliced from 3 exons. NCBI's taxonomy places the organism in Eukaryota, Viridiplantae, Streptophyta, Magnoliopsida, Asterales, Asteraceae.